This is a non-coding RNA of Mandrillus leucophaeus (drill), 73 nucleotides long. NCBI's taxonomy places the organism in Eukaryota, Metazoa, Chordata, Mammalia, Primates, Cercopithecidae. The record is from the annotation of a RefSeq genome assembly.
GCCCAGUUAGCUCAGUCAGUAGAGCAUGAGACUCUUAAUCUGAGGGUUGUGGGUUCAAGCCCCACACUGGGUG